GGGCCCGUAGUGAAGUGGCCUAUCACGCCUCCCUGUCACGGAGGAGAUCACCGGUUCGAAUCCGGCCGGGCCCGCCA
RNAcentral lists this transfer RNA (77 nucleotides) under Candidatus Berkelbacteria bacterium. RNAcentral's name for it is "tRNA-Asp". It matches the Rfam family "tRNA". Rfam says of the family: Transfer RNA (tRNA) molecules are approximately 80 nucleotides in length. Their secondary structure includes four short double-helical elements and three loops (D, anti-codon, and T loops). Further hydrogen bonds mediate the characteristic L-shaped molecular structure. tRNAs have two regions of fundamental functional importance: the anti-codon, which is responsible for specific mRNA codon recognition, and the 3' end, to which the tRNAs corresponding amino acid is attached (by aminoacyl-tRNA synthetases). tRNAs cope with the degeneracy of the genetic code in two manners: having more than one tRNA (with a specific anti-codon) for a particular amino acid; and 'wobble' base-pairing, i.e. permitting non-standard base-pairing at the 3rd anti-codon position. Lineage: Bacteria; Candidatus Berkelbacteria. The record is from RNAcentral.